UUGACCUCAAAUCAGGUAGGACUACCCGCUGAACUUAAGCAUAUCAAUAAGCGGAGGAAAAGAAACUAACAAGGAUUCCCCUAGUAACUGCGAGUGAAGCGGGAAAAGCUCAAAUUUAAAAUCUGGUAGUCUUUGGCUGCCCGAGUUGUAAUCUAGAGAAGUGUUAUCCGCGUUGGACCGUGUACAAGUCUCCUGGAAUGGAGCGUCAUAGAGGGUGAGAAUCCCGUCUUUGACACGGACUACCAGGGCUUUGUGAUGCGCUCUCAAAGAGUCGAGUUGUUUGGGAAUGCAGCUCUAAAUGGGUGGUAAAUUCCAUCUAAAGCUAAAUAUUGGCGAGAGACCGAUAGCGAACAAGUACCGUGAGGGAAAGAUGAAAAGAACUUUGGAAAGAGAGUUAAACAGUACGUGAAAUUGUUGAAAGGGAAACGCUUGAAGUCAGUCGCGUUGGCCAGGGAUCAACCUUGCUUUUGCUUGGCGUACUUUCUGGUUGACGGGUCAGCAUCAAUUUUGACCAGUGGAAAAAGAUUAGGGGAAUGUGGCAUCUUCGGAUGUGUUAUAGCCCUUGGUUGUAUACAUUGGUUGGGAUUGAGGAACU
Molecule: ribosomal RNA, 595 nt
Filed under: Entoloma sp. EH37
Lineage: Eukaryota; Fungi; Basidiomycota; Agaricomycetes; Agaricales; Entolomataceae
Description: eukaryotic LSU rRNA
Rfam family: Eukaryotic large subunit ribosomal RNA
Source: RNAcentral